GGAGUGUAGCCCAAUGGUAGUAUAUGUGCUUAGCAUGCACGAGGCCCCAGGUUCAAUCUCUAGCACCA
RNAcentral lists this transfer RNA (68 nucleotides) under Marmota monax (woodchuck). Its description in RNAcentral is "tRNA.Ala". Lineage: Eukaryota; Metazoa; Chordata; Mammalia; Rodentia; Sciuridae. The record is from RNAcentral.